AUGAGGACCAGUUGCAGAGUCAAGCUAUCCCAAAGCGCAAGUGGAAACGGAAGGUAUAUCCGUUGUCCGCAGUGCGUAGGAGUGCUAGGAUGCGUUCGGCAAAAAAAAAUUUUGGAGACGGGAAGAGACUUGGCUAAAAGAAGGUUUCUUGUUGAGGCGUCUGUCGAGCAUCGCUUAGAUUUUAUCGCUCUUUUGGAGACGGGGAGAGAUAAUUUUGCGCCACAGUUUCUAAAUUCUUUGUCGGGAGGUAUUGAAUUUGAUUGGCAUUGCUUGCCGCCGAGAGGGCGAUCGGGUGGAAUCCUCCUCGGCGUUAGGUGCGAGACGCUUGAGGUUCGCAGUGUGGUUAUGGGAGACUUUGCAGUCAAGUUCAGGGUGCGGUCCAAGGAAGAUGGGUUUAAUUGGGCUCUGGUUGCGGUUUAUGGUGCUGCGCAGCCCGAGCUCAAGCCCGAUUUCUUGGCUGAUCUAGUUCGGAUGUGUGGUUCCGAGCAGCUGCCGUACCUGGUGGGGGGUGAUUUCAAUAUUAUUAGAAGGCGUGAGGAUAAGAACAAUGAUAACUUCGACGGCAGAUGGUCGUUCAUGUUCAAUACUAUCAUUGAGAGUUUGAACCUGAGAGAAAUUGAGCUCUCGGGCAGAAAAUUCACCUGGGCUAAAGCGCUGCCAAAUCCGACGUAUGAGAAGUUGGACCGUGUGUUGGCUAGUGUCGAUUGGGAACAGAAGUUUCCUCUAGUAACGGUCCAGGCCUUAUCCCGUGGUAUCUAG
RNAcentral lists this ribosomal RNA (759 nucleotides) under Triticum aestivum (bread wheat). RNAcentral's name for it is "partial small subunit ribosomal RNA". The record is from RNAcentral. Lineage: Eukaryota; Viridiplantae; Streptophyta; Magnoliopsida; Poales; Poaceae.